AUACGGAGGGUGCAAGCGUUACUCGGAAUCACUGGGCGUAAAGCGCGCGCAGGCGGGCUGAUAAGUUGGAUGUGAAAGCCUACGGCUCAACCGUAGAACUGCAUCCAAAACUGUCAGUCUAGAGUCUGGGAGGGGAAGAUGGAAUUAGUUGUGUAGGGGUAAAAUCCGUAGAGAUAACUAGGAAUACCAAAAGCGAAGGCGAUCUUCUGGAACAGUACUGACGCUGAGGCGCGAAAGCGUGGGGAGCAAACAGAAUUAGAAACCCUUGUAGUCC
Molecule: ribosomal RNA, 274 nt
Filed under: uncultured bacterium
Lineage: Bacteria
Description: partial 16S ribosomal RNA
Rfam family: Bacterial small subunit ribosomal RNA
Source: RNAcentral